Molecule: ribosomal RNA, 895 nt
Filed under: uncultured bacterium
Lineage: Bacteria
Description: bacterial SSU rRNA
Rfam family: Bacterial small subunit ribosomal RNA
Source: RNAcentral
GAUGAACGCUAGCGACAGGCCUAACACAUGCAAGUCGAGGGGCAGCACGAAUUAGCAAUAGUUUGGUGGCGACCGGCGCACGGGUGCGUAACACGUAUGCAACCUACCGUUAAGCGGGGNGAUAACCCNGGAGAAAUCCGGACUAACACCGCAUAAUACCGGCAUUCCGCAUGGGGUGCCGUUUAAACGUUUUGGCUUAACGAUGGGCAUGCGCAUGAUUAGUUAGUUGGUGGGGUAACGGCUCACCAAGGCGACGAUCAUUAGGGGUUCUGAGAGGAAGGUCCCCCACACUGGUACUGAGACACGGACCAGACUCCUACGGGAGGCAGCAGUGAGGAAUAUUGGUCAAUGGUCGAGAGACUGAACCAGCCAAGUCGCGUGAAGGAUGAAGGUUCUAUGGAUUGUAAACUUCUUUUGUAAGGGAAUAAAGUGGGCUACGCGUAGCCUUUUGUAUGUACCUUACGANUAAGCAUCGGCUAACUCCGUGCCAGCAGCCGCGGUAAUACGGAGGAUGCGAGCGUUAUCCGGAUUUAUUGGGUUUAAAGGGUGCGUAGGCGGGAAGUCAAGUCAGUGGUGAAAUCUUGCGGCUCAACCGUAAGCUUGCCGUUGAAACUGGUUUUCUUGAGUACAGGAUAGGUAUGCGGAAUGUGUAGUGUAGCGGUGAAAUGCAUAGAUAUUACACAGAANCCCCGAUUGCGAAGGCAGCAUGCUGGUCUGUAACUGACGCUGAUGCACGAAAGCGUGGGAAUCAAACAGGAUUAGAUACCCUGGUAGUCCACGCCGUAAACGAUGAAUACUCGCUGUUUGCGAUAUACGGCAAGCGGCCAAGCGAAAGCGUUAAGUAUUCCACCUGGGGAGUACGUCGGCAACGAUGAAACUCAAAGGAAUUGACGGG